RNAcentral lists this ribosomal RNA (305 nucleotides) under uncultured bacterium. Its description in RNAcentral is "bacterial SSU rRNA". It matches the Rfam family "Bacterial small subunit ribosomal RNA", at positions 334 to 656 of the family's 1533-position model. The record is from RNAcentral.
UUUGCCUACGGGGGGCAGCAGUGGGGGAUAUUGCACAAUGGGGGCAACCCUGAUGCAGCGACGCCGCGUGAGCGAUGGAGUACUUCGGUAUGUAAAGCUCUGUCAGCAGGGAAGAGAAUGACGGUACCUGACCAAGAAGCCCCGGCUAACUACGUGCCAGCAGCCGCGGUAAUACGUAGGGGGCAAGCGUUAUCCGGAUUCACUGGGUGUAAAGGGAGCGUAGACGGCGACGCAAGUCUGGAGUGAAAGCCCGGGGCCCAACCCCGGGACUGCUCUGGAAACUGCGUCGCUGGAGUACGGGAGGG